RNAcentral lists this ribosomal RNA (556 nucleotides) under uncultured bacterium. RNAcentral's name for it is "partial 16S ribosomal RNA". It matches the Rfam family "Bacterial small subunit ribosomal RNA", at positions 355 to 900 of the family's 1533-position model. The record is from RNAcentral.
UGGGGAAUAUUGCACAAUGGGCGCAAGCCUGAUGCAGCCAUGCCGCGUGUGUGAAGAAGGCCUUCGGGUUGUAAAGCACUUUCAGCGAGGAGGAAGGUGGUGAGCUUAAUACGCUCAUCAAUUGACGUUACUCGCAGAAGAAGCACCGGCUAACUCCGUGCCAGCAGCCGCGGUAAUACGGAGGGUGCAAGCGUUAAUCGGAAUUACUGGGCGUAAAGCGCACGCAGGCGGUUUGUUAAGUCAGAUGUGAAAUCCCCGGGCUCAACCUGGGAACUGCAUUUGAAACUGGCAAGCUAGAGUCUCGUAGAGGGGGGUAGAAUUCCAGGUGUAGCGGUGAAAUGCGUAGAGAUCUGGAGGAAUACCGGUGGCGAAGGCGGCCCCCUGGACGAAGACUGACGCUCAGGUGCGAAAGCGUGGGGAGCAAAACAGGAUUAGAUACCCUGGUAGUCCACGCUGUAAAACGAUGUCGAUUUUGGAGGUUGUGCCCUUGAGGCGUGGCUUCCGGAGCUAACGCGUUAAAUCGACCGCCUGGGGAGUACGGCCGCAAGGUUAAAAC